CAAAGGGGAAAAAAGUUUUGCUCUUGGCAUCCUGGCCUGGAGCAUCUGAGAAACUGGGUUCUCCCUGGACACCUGUUCUGUAUUUCCCAUCGGAGUGACUCCAGAGAAGAGCAGCAUGUUAAGACGUUAACUGCCCAAGGAGGAAGAAACAGGUGACUUUACUGUUGGGACAGUCUAAGGAUCAUGUGCUGAACCUUGAUAAACAAAACAAUAUGCUCAUCUUUAUCUCCAUUUGAACGUAACAUGGCUUCUUCAGAUGCCACCCGUUUUUAUCUGCAAAGCGGCACUCUGAAUUAGGCAGAGCAGGCACUCUGAGCAUCCUCACUUACGGAGAAGGAAACCGAGGUCGAAGGUGGAUUCUCUCCAUCUGUGAUUCCAUGGCCCAAUAGUCCGGAAGCAGAACAACUUCAACUCCAGAGCCAAGGCCCUGCAGGAAGCCAGUAAGAACACUAAGGCCCAGGGAGGAUCUCUGGCUUGCCACUGUGUACAUCUUGAGAGGAAGACACUGUCUGCUUAGAUACCUCAUCUGUCAAUCCAACACUUGAUCGUCCACACUGCAUGCUGAUGACCUGGAUGCAGACUGUCUCAUCAAAAAGUCCUUUUCCUCCAUAUUCUGUCCUCAUGGAUUGUCACUUCAGGAUACCCCUGUUCAUGGAUGCCAUCUGAGAUGUAUGUGGCUGAUCACAGCCCUGCAUUUGUAACAAAGAUUCUUCAGCCU
Long non-coding RNA from Mastomys coucha (southern multimammate mouse), 718 nucleotides. RefSeq lists it as uncharacterized. The record is from RefSeq and is a predicted model, not a curated record. NCBI's taxonomy places the organism in Eukaryota, Metazoa, Chordata, Mammalia, Rodentia, Muridae. The transcript is spliced from 4 exons.